UGCUCUGGUCAGAUCUCAGAGGCUAAGCAGGGCUGAGCCUGGUCAGUACUUGGAUAGGAGACCGCUGGGAAUAACAGGUGCCACAGCGG
This 89-nucleotide ribosomal RNA is filed under the name Periophthalmus magnuspinnatus. Lineage: Eukaryota; Metazoa; Chordata; Actinopteri; Gobiiformes; Gobiidae. The record is from RNAcentral.